UGCUACGGCUGUGUGGCACGUUGGAUUACCCAAUCCCUUAAUCUCGGAAGUUAAGCAACGCACAUUCUGGUCUGUUCUUAGGUGGGAGACCAACCAAGGACAACAGGAUGCUGUAGCCU
This is a non-coding RNA of Branchiostoma floridae (Florida lancelet), 119 nucleotides long. The record is from Rfam. NCBI's taxonomy places the organism in Eukaryota, Metazoa, Chordata, Leptocardii, Amphioxiformes, Branchiostomatidae.